AUUGAACGCUGGCGGCAUGCCUUACACAUGCAAGUCGAACGGUAACGGGCCUUCGGGUGCCGACGAGUGGCGAACGGGUGAGUAAUACAUCGGAACGUGCCCGAUCGUGGGGGAUAACGAGGCGAAAGCUUUGCUAAUACCGCAUACGAUCUACGGAUGAAAGCAGGGGACCGCAAGGCCUUGCGCGGACGGAGCGGCCGGUGGCAGAUUAGGUAGUUGGUGGGAUAAAAGCUUACCAAGCCGACGAUCUGUAGCUGGUCUGAGAGGAUGAUCAGCCACACUGGGACUGAGACACGGCCCAGACUCCUACGGGAGGCAGCAGUGGGGAAUUUUGGACAAUGGGCGCAAGCCUGAUCCAGCCAUGCCGCGUGCAGGAUGAAGGCCUUCGGGUUGUAAAAUGCUUUUGUACGGAACGAAAAGCCUUCUUUUAAUACAGGAGGGUCAUGACGGUACCGUAAGAAUAAGCACCGGCUAACUACGUG
Molecule: ribosomal RNA, 482 nt
Filed under: uncultured bacterium
Lineage: Bacteria
Description: partial 16S ribosomal RNA
Rfam family: Bacterial small subunit ribosomal RNA
Source: RNAcentral